GUUGCUGAAGCUAGUAAUAGUGGCGUACGGGUGAGUAACGCGUGGGUAAUCUACCUUCGAAUUGGGGAUAACGUUGCGAAAGUGACGCUAAUACCGAAUAAUAUCAUAGAGACGUUGGUUUUUAUGAUCAAAGAUGGCCUCUCCUUGGAAGCUAUUGUUUGGAGAUGAGCCCGCGUCCCAUUAGCUUGUUGGUGGGGUAAUGGCCUACCAAGGCAACGAUGGGUAGCUGGUCUGAGAGGAUGAUCAGCCACACUGGAACUGACACACGGUCCAGACUCCUACGGGAGGCAGCAGUGAGGAAUUUUGCGCAAUGGGGGAGACCCUGACGCAGCAACGCCGCGUGAGUGAUGAAGGCUUUCGGGUCGUAAAGCUCUGUCAAGUGGGAAGAACUCCCGUGAGGUUAAUACCCUCAUGGUUUGACGGUACCACUGAAGGAAGCACCGGCUAACUCCGUGCCAGCAGCCGCGGUAAUACGGGGGGUGCAAGCGUUAUUCGGAUCUACUGGGCGUAAAGCGCGCGUAGGCGGCCGUUUAAGUCAGAUGUGGAAGCCCGGGGCUCAACCCCGGAAGUACAUUUGAUACUAUUCGGCUUGAGUAUGGGAGAGGGAAGUGGAAUUCUGGUGUAGAGGUGAAAUUCGUAGAUAUCAGGAGGAACACCGGUGGCGAAGGCGACUUCCUGGACCAAUACUGACCU
Molecule: ribosomal RNA, 693 nt
Filed under: uncultured delta proteobacterium
Lineage: Bacteria; Deltaproteobacteria
Description: bacterial SSU rRNA
Rfam family: Bacterial small subunit ribosomal RNA
Source: RNAcentral